CCGAGUUUACAACUCCCAAACCCAAUGUGAACGUUACCAAACUGUUGCCUCGGCGGGAUCUCUGCCCCGGGUGCGUCGCAGCCCCGGACCAAGGCGCCCGCCGGAGGACCAACCAAAACUCUUAUUGUAUACCCCCUCGCGGGUUUUUUACUAUCUGAGCCAUCUCGGCGCCCCCUCGUGGGCGUUUCGAAAAUGAAUCA
This 200-nucleotide unclassified non-coding RNA is filed under the name soil metagenome. Its description in RNAcentral is "partial internal transcribed spacer 1". The record is from RNAcentral.